This 220-nucleotide long non-coding RNA is filed under the name Parus major (Great Tit). Its description in RNAcentral is "lncRNA (ENSPMJG00000001074.1)". Lineage: Eukaryota; Metazoa; Chordata; Aves; Passeriformes; Paridae. The record is from RNAcentral.
AGCUGUGCUUUUGCCUUUUCACAUCUUAUUUCCAUCCUCUCCCUCCCCCGGGCGUUUCCCGCAGCUGGAUGGUUGUUGGUACCAAAGGUGUGGUGGAGGAGAAGGAAAAGACCUGAUUGCUGUGGAGCAAAUUCCCCAUCCAUGGCAUCAUCCAGGUAUGUCGUGGUGCACAAACCAUGGAUGACAGGCUACAGAGGCUGCAGCUGCAGCUUUCCCACAG